GAUGAACGCUGGCGGCGUGCUUAACACAUGCAAGUCGAACGGUGAAGGCGGAGCUUGCUCUGCUGGAUCAGUGGCGAACGGGUGAGUAACACGUGAGCAAUCUGCCCCUGACUCUGGGAUAAGCGCUGGAAACGGCGUCUAAUACUGGAUACGAGCUGCGAAGGCAUCUUCAGCAGCUGGAAAGAACUUCGGUCAGGGAUGGGCUGGCGGCCUAUCAGCUUGUUGGUGAGGUAAGGGCUAACCAAGGCCUCGCCCGGUAGCAGACCUGGGCGGGUGACCGGACACACUGGGACUGAAACACGACACAGACUCCUACGGGAGGCAGGAGUGGGGAAUAUUGCACAAUGGGCGGAAGCAUGAUGCAACACCGCCGCGUGAGGGACGACGGCAUGCGGGUUGUAAACCUCUUUUCGCAGGGAAGAAGCGAUAGUGACGGUACCUGCAGAAAAAGCGCCGGCUAACUACGUG
Molecule: ribosomal RNA, 468 nt
Filed under: uncultured bacterium
Lineage: Bacteria
Description: partial 16S ribosomal RNA
Rfam family: Bacterial small subunit ribosomal RNA
Source: RNAcentral